RNAcentral lists this ribosomal RNA (489 nucleotides) under uncultured bacterium. RNAcentral's name for it is "bacterial SSU rRNA". It matches the Rfam family "Bacterial small subunit ribosomal RNA", at positions 15 to 518 of the family's 1533-position model. The record is from RNAcentral.
GAUUAUGGCUCAGAACGAACGCUGGUGGCGUGUCUAUACAUGCAAGUCGAGCGAGGCAGCAAUGCCGAGCGGCGAACGGGUGAGUAACGCGUAAGCAAUCUGCCCCAUAUCAGGAAAUACCCGUGCCAACGCGCGGUUAAUGUCCAGGAGAGUGGCCCCCUGCAUGGGGGGUUGACUAGAGAUUUAUCGGUAUGGGAUGAGCUUGCGUCCGAUUAGCUAGUUGGCGGGGCAACGGCCCACAAGGCGACGAUCGGUAGCCGGCCUGAGAGGGUGAUCGGCCACAUUGGGACUGAGAUACGGCCCAGACUCCUACGGGAGGCAGCAGUAGGGAAUAUUGCACAAUGGGGGAAACCCUGAUGCAGCAACGCCACGUGUGGGAAGAAGCAUUUCGGUGUGUAAACCACUGUCAUGAGGGAAUAAGGCCCUUAUUCGUAAGGGAUUGAAUGUACCUUGAGAGGAAGCACCGGCAAACUUCGUGCCAGCAGCGGC